GUGAGCUUUGUUCCCUGUAAGGCUCUCAAGAUUUCAAGCUAGGUUUAAUCAAAUUAUAGUACGCUUUUCUAGUUCUUUUAUUUCUCAAAACUAAGUUACAUUCUUGAGACUUUUCCGAGUUUCAGAGGUGUCCAAUAGAUGGCAAGUGUCCUCGCUUUUCAUGUAAUGGCGGAUUGUUGUUGUCAAAAGUUCCUAUUUUUCCACGAAAUUACCGAUUAAUUCAAAAGAAGGAACGCGAAAGGAAAUAUUAGCCUUCAAGUAGCCUACGAUCAACUCUUUCAUGAUCGACGUUUUGGUGAAUAAUGCAUCAUCCAGUUAAUACAGGUCACUAACCCUAGUUUGGACAUACAUAUAUUGUUUUUUUCCGAACAUGUUUUUCUACAAAUGUUGCAUUGACAGACAUAGAAAGCUAAAGGCCAUUGGUAAUCUUCAGGUUUAUUGCAGCAACUUCGGAGACGUCUCAUGAAAAGAUGCAGGGCACAUACCAACAUAAGUUGCAUUUUUCUGAAUGUCUUACUCAAGUAGUAGAUUCCACAUGAUUAACGUGUCAAAGUUAGUUAGAACUUCAACUCAGACACAGAUGACUGCUGCUGCUGCCUUACAGCCAAAGACUAGGGAGAGCUGUUGGAGUAAUCUUGUCUUCGAUCAUCCUCACUUGACUCAUUUCAUCUUCUGGAUAUCUUAGAGAAACCUGAUUGGUGUUAUCAAGAUAAUGACCAAGAGGAUGCGGCCUACAGACUGAGAACAUCA
This is a long non-coding RNA of Daphnia pulex (common water flea), 750 nucleotides long. RefSeq lists it as uncharacterized. The record is from RefSeq and is a predicted model, not a curated record. NCBI's taxonomy places the organism in Eukaryota, Metazoa, Arthropoda, Branchiopoda, Diplostraca, Daphniidae. The transcript has 7 exons.